AUGUCCCGUGCGCACCGCACGCCUCGCCGCUAUUACCGCGUCGAGCCUCCGCUGUCCCGGUCGAGUCUCAAGGGUAACGAAACCACACCACUCAACCCCCACUGCAGAGUACCACCGAUCAUCACCGACCGAUCAUCAACGAGAUGUACCUUGGGAAAUGGAUCCAGAAUCUCCUUCUGGCACGACUGGUGGUUGGACUGUGGAAGGCUGAAAUUCUCUUUCCCAAUUCUCUUCACCUUUGCACAAUCGCCUUAUUGCACUGUUGCCUCACAGUUCACUGAUGGACAAUGGAACCUCAAGCUACAUCCGAAUUUAACUAUGACAGCCAUAAGAGAAAUGGAGGCCUUACUGACGAUUCUAGUUGGAGUGCAUCCAUCUCUUUCUCACACUGAAACAGAUCAGAGAAACCCUUGUAUGAAAUCUGGAAAGGUCACCACUGCAUUCUUCUAUGAGCUGCUCACGUUCAGGGGGAUCCUUUGCCCAGCUGCUCCAAAGAUAUGGGACACUUUGAUACCCAACAGACAUCGGGUCUUCCUUUGGCUGGCUCUACGAGGUAGACUGAACACAAGAGAUAAUAUUCUCAAAAAAGGCUGGACGUCAAUCACAACACACAAUGGCCGCGACCUGUGCCCUGCAACCGAAAACAGUAGCCAUAUCAUCCUCAGAUGCAGGCUUGCUGAUGCUGUUUGGGAGCGGGCAGGCGUGCAAGACAAGGCAAGAAGCUCCAAUGAUCUCCAGGUUUUUCUACUCGCCACGGAACCCCCUGCAUAUGGCAACCUCUGGCAUAUUGUCUUUGCAGCCUGCGCCGUGUCUCUCUGGUCUGCCAGGAACGAGCAGGUCUUCCAGCACACAUGA
RNAcentral lists this ribosomal RNA (855 nucleotides) under Triticum aestivum (bread wheat). Its description in RNAcentral is "partial small subunit ribosomal RNA". The record is from RNAcentral. Lineage: Eukaryota; Viridiplantae; Streptophyta; Magnoliopsida; Poales; Poaceae.